CGUUGGGCAAGUUUUUUUUUUUUUUGGGGUAAACGAGAGUGAUGAAAAAAAAAAUAUGUGACUAAAAACGUUGCGUUUUGAAGACAAGGUAGCCACGUGUACCGCAUGACGAGCGCAUUUGCUGCUCUUGCGUUGCCUUCCCCUGCGGAUUGAACUAUUGUAGAAAGAGCUCUAAACCCCCACUCUCCAUCAUCUUUGAACUCUGUCGUCGACAUAUCAAAACCUUAAAACUGGUUCUCUUUAUCGCUAGCUAUUGUAUAACACCUUUUCAUAAUUUGGUAAGACACGAGUUAAGACUUUUACAUAAACAACCACACAUAAGGAAUUCAGUCAUUUGUUCUUUGAUCUUUAUUCUAAAUUUAACCCAAAUCUUUGGCUACCAUCUGAUGUAGACCAUUACAUAUCUGAUGUUUUGAACUAAAGCUAUUUUGCUCAACUCGCAUACAAUUUCAUUGGACCAAACCAAACCUACAAAGACUUUCAAUUGGAUUGUAUUUACCACAAAAGUGUACUAAAAUCAAAGUUUCUAUAGAUCUUGUAAGCAUAAGUUUGUUCCCUCGCAUAAUCAGGUUGUUUUUUUUUUAUCAUUGCCACAUUAUAGCUACAUGUCUAUACUGUUGGUGUACUCAGUAGUUUUUUUUUUUUUUUUUUUUUUUUCAUGGUGUACUUAGUAGUUAGUAUAUAAUAUUCACAAGAUUUGCAUUCAUUUGCUCGUUUCUUAUUGCAUAUGCAAAUUUUAUUUCCUGCAAAUCAGACCAAUAGUUAAGAUUGCGCAUAAAACAAAGGUAAAGAACACUGGAUAUCACCACAGAAAUUUACUGACCAAAUGAUUUUCAUGGACUUCCAAACGAUGGAAAAAUGUUGGUUGAAAAACAAAGGGGAAUGUUUACUACUGUAUUAAUUAUGUGGCAGAUAAAAAUAGAUAUCUGUUAUAAACCAUAUGGAUGGACUCCAUAACCGGUCCAUGGCCCAUUAGGGUUUUAUCUUAUUCUUUGUAUCCUGCUAUUAUCCUUGUAUAUAUAUUCCUUAUACUAUUAAUGAAAGACACAGUUCACAACACGUUAUCAGCACGAUAGUCUUUCACCCUAAAAAUUAAAAAUUCCGAAACCCUAAAUCUCUCUCACAAAAACCAAAACCAAAACUCUAGCCGUCUCUGCAAACAAAAUUCUAAACUCUAUCGAGAUAAGUUUUCUGUUCAUAUUUGUUUCUGCACGGAUUAUCUGUUAUCAAUCCUGUCUGUAUUUCUGCACGAACUUUGCACAGAUGAUCUGUUAUCUAUUCUGUCUGUAGUUUUGCACGAAUUUUGCACGGAUUAUAUGUUAUCAAUUUUGUCUGUAUUUCUGCACGAAUUUUGCACAGAUUAUUUGUUGUCAAUUCUGUCUGCAGAUUUGCACAAAUUUUGCACAGAUUAUUUAUUAUCAAUCCUGUCUAUAUUUUUGUACGAUUUAUGCACGGAUUAUAUGCUAUUGAUUCUGAACUGUUUUAUGCAGUAUAUUACAGAAACCCUAUUUUUUUUCAUUUUACUAAUGUAAUAGCCAUAUUUCCAUGAGCAAAAUUUUGAGUUUCUCAGGAAUCAGGAUUAUAUAUAUUGAGAUUUUGUAGGAAGUCCCAACCAGCUAAGAGACAUAACUGUUUCCAAUCUCCGUAUCAGAUCUCGGGUCUCUGUUAUCUUCUCCAAUUAAGAUAAGUGCUAUUUAUUUAUUAUGCUUUAUAUACAUGAUCCAAUUAAAGUUUGAUAAGAUAAAAUUUGCAUGAAAAUUGGCACAUGUGAUUUGAUUUAUGAUUGGAGAAUUAAUUGAGAAGUUAGUGAAUGGAAAGAUGUUUAAUGCAUGGCAUGAUAGAUUGAAUGUUUUAAUAUAAACUCUAGGUUAAACCGAAAGUAAACCGAAACCCUAAAUCCUAGGUUAAACCGGUUUAAUAAACCCUAAGUCACGGUUUAAGAUCAAGUUUCCCAUAUAAGGAAAGUUUCCAGAAAUAGAAAGUUUUCAUAAAUAUAAAAUCACCAUAAAUAGAAAGUUUCCAUAUAAGGAAAGUUUCCAGAAAUAGAAAGUUUCGUAAAAUAGCAAGUUUCCCAAAAUAAAAGGUUCCCUAAAGUAGCAAGUUUCCCAAAAUGGAAAGUAACCAAAAUAGGAAACCCCUUCAUAAGGAAAUAUUCCAAAACCCUAAAGUACACGUUUGUUUAGGAUUUCUUUCUAGAUGAGAAAUAGAAAGUUUCCAUAAAUGGAAAGUUCCAUAUAAGGAAAGAUUCCAUAAAUAGAAAGUUCCAUACAUAAAACCGAAACCCUAGAAAAAACCCUAGUACUAUAAAUCGCGGAUGCUAAAACCCUAAAACUUAACCGCAAAAUCAUAAUAUCCUAAUCUAGUAUGAUCCGAUUGUUUGGUUAUUUUUUGUUGCAUACUAGAUCAAUCUUCUAGGGUUGAUUUCAUCCAUAUAUAUAUAACAUGAUUGUGUAGAAAACACUUGCUGAAGACAAGCAUGGUUCGGUCUUAAAUACCGCAUGACUUGGUCUAACCGAUUACAUGAGUUCUCAUUUAACUCUAUAUUUUAUAGAUGUCAAAAAUCAACUAUUAUGAAUACACGGCACUCAAUGCCUCUCGUGACAAUUAUUUACAAUGGGCUUUGGACACUGAGAUUAUCCUAAAGGAAAAAGGGGCUUGGUGAAUCUAUUGUGGAAGAAAACAAUGUCACCAAAAGAGAAAGAUAUAAGGCGAUUACUAACAUACGCCAUCACCUCAAUGAGAGUCUCAAAAUCAGUACCUCACUAUUAAGAAUCCUCUGGACCUCAGGACGGUGCUAUUACCCAAAAGCCCGAUUCGAUCGAAAGAAUCUCAGAUUCCAGGAAUUCAAAUCCAUGAAUGAGUAUAACUCAGCACUAUUUAAAAUAGUGUCAAUACUGAGAUUCUGUGAUGAGGAAGUUACUGAGAAUGACUUGCUAGAGAAAGCAUUCUCGACCUUUCACACAAACAAUAUAUUGCCUCAGCAACAAUAUCGUGAAAAAGGUUUUUACCACAUAUGCAAGUCUAAACUCUUGUUUUUGGGGAGGACUCCUCUGUAGAGAGUGCUAAGGAGUGAGGCUUUGGAGAAACCGUGAUGAGAACAUUGAUUCUGAUAUGCUACUUGCUGAGCAAAACAAUGAGUUAUAAAUAGUGAAAUGAGACCUCCUGGUCCUACCCCAUUAUCAGAAGCCCAUUGGGCUGAAGAGCCUAAAGAGCCUAAAGAGACUAAAGAGUCUAACCACGUCCAAAGAGAUAAGUAUCAUGGCCACAGUCAUGGUAAAUGGAAUGAACGUGGUAGAAGUGGAAAAUAUAAUUUAUAUGAUCAAGGAAACCAUUCAUAUGGUUAAGGCCACCGACCCGACUUUGGUCGUAAUCGAGGUAGGCCACGGUAUACCCAAACCACAACACUCAAAUAAACUUGUUUGCUACUGAUGAGUAAUGGGGAAACCAUUGGACUAAGACGUGCAGGAUACCUAAGCAUCUCGUUGAUCUCUAUCAAGAGAGUUUGAAAAGAAUCAAGAAGCUCAUUUAGUUCAUCACGAUGGUGAAGAAGAUUUCGACCAUGAGAUAGAUGAUUAUGAGAAUUCAAUAAACGAAAUAUCUAAAGACAUGGUUCAUUAGCUAAAUUGCGGGUAUAGCUAAAUUUAGUAAAGGCUAAGGGCAGGCCCAUGGCAGGCCCAUAUUCCCAAGGGCACGCAUCCUCAGAUGCUUCAUAUUCACCUAGCUCAAGGGGGCUUGUUGAGUUUCAAAGAAAUGUGUUUGAAUGGUUUUCACAUUGAAACUAAGGGUGAAGGGAACAAAGGAUUCCCAUAUAUUACUAAGAGCACCCAAGACCAUGAGAAGGUCUUAGAGACUAUACUCGCGUCAUAGAUCUUUACUAUGCCAAGGUCAAUAUGAUAAAGGCUAAUAAAGUAAACAAAUAAGGGCUUACUGAGAAAUUCACUAAUGGCAUGACCGGCUUGGCCAGCCCGGUUCGAAUAUGAUGCGUAAAUUAAUUCAAAGUUCUAAAGGGCACACCCUUAAAGAAAACCGAGUUUUCCCUAAGCACCACACGUGCAUAGCCUGUUCACAAGGGAAGCUUAUCACUCGACCUUCACCAGUCAAAGUGUCUAAAGAGACCUUACAUUUUCUAGAACGACUUCAAGGAGACAUAUGUGGUCCGAUCCAUCCACCUUGUGGAACAUUUCGGUACUUCAUGGUUUUAAUCGAUGCAUCAACCCGCUGGUCGCAUGUUUGCCUAUUGUCUUCUAGGAACCAAGCGUUUGUUAGGUUAUUGGCCCAAAUCAUCAGAUUGCGAGCCUAUUUUCCAGAUUUUCCUCUUAAGACCAUACGUUUAGAUAAUGCUGGUGAAUUCACUUCCCAAGCAUUUAAUGACUAUUGUAUGGCCAUGGGGGUAAGUGUGGAACAUCCUGUGGCACAUGUCCAUACACAUAACGGAUUAGCUGAAUCCCUCAUUAAACGAAUUCAACUAAUUUCUCGACUAUUACUCAUGAGGUCGCAGCUUCUGAUCUCAGCUUGGGGACAUGCAGUUUUACACGCUGCUUAACUAAUACGCAUUCGGCCAUCUAGUGAGCAUAGAUAUUCACCAUCCCAACUACUCACAGGUCAGGAGCCAGAUAUGUCCCAUCUAAAGACAUUUGGGUGUGUCACCUAUUUACCCAUAGCACCACCACAGAGAGCAAAUAAUGGGACCUCAAAAGGGGAUGGGAAUAUACGUUAAAAAUGAUUCUCCCACCAUCAUUAAGUAUCUCGAGCCAAAGGCCAGAUACAAGGAUUGUCAUCUCAAUGAAUCGUUUUCCCAAGACUAGGUGGAGAGACUAACAAGCUGGUCAAAGAACUUACAUGGAAUCAAACAUCCUUCACAUGGCAAGAUCCUCGGACUCCAUCAGAGAUCCAAAAGACUAUAUAUCUGCAAAAGCUAGCUAAAACAGUUGCCAAGAUUCCUAUAAUGACCCAAAGAGAGUAACAAAAUCGUACAUACCAGCUUGUAAUGCACCAGUACAUAUUGAUGUUCACAAGGAACAUAAUCAAGUUGCUACAGAGGCUACAACACGUAAGAAACGUGGUAGACCCAAAAGGUUCCAAAGAUAAGAACCCUCGGAAAUCAAAGAAAGGUGCAAGGGAAACCGAGAAGGUUCAAGAAACCAUAGACAUGGCCGGCUAAUAGACAUAACCCUAAGGUACCAAUCAAUGAGGUUUGGGACGCCAAACCUCAAGGUCCUGAAGGUGUAAAGAGAUCUCUAUAAACUAUAUCAUGUCUAGAAUACAAUGGAACAAAAAAAAAUGUCGACAUAAAUGAUAAUAUAUUUGCGCACAAGGUAGCAACUGAAAUGAAUGAGGAUCAGGAGCCCACGUCUAUACUAGAGUGCACUCAAAGACCUGAUUGAUUAAAAUGGUACAAGACCAUAAAACGUGGAGCUAAGAAUCAUUAAGAAGAAGAAUGUGUUUGGUCCAAUACAAAGGACACCAUUCAAUGUAAAGCCAGUGGGACAAAUGAGUCUUUGUGAUAGUGUGAAAUAAACAUAGUGAAAGCGUGAUAUAUCAGACACGGCUUGUCGCACAAGGAUUCACACAAAGACCAGAAAUAGAGGAGAUAUACUCCCCUAAGGUGGAUGCUAAGACAUUUAAAUUUUUGCUAAGUCUGGCUAUAUAAAAGAGAAAGAUUUGCGGCUAAUGGAUGUAAUGCCUGCAUAUUUAUAUAAGUCCACUGGAUAAUAUAUGAGAUUACCAGAGGGUAUUGAGCUCAAAGAUAAGAAAGAUUUUCGAGAACAGCACUGCAUAAGGCUGGACAAAUCCUUAUAUGGACUGAAACAAAGCGGACGUAUGUGGUAUAACCGGUUAAGCGAAUAUCUCAUCAGAGAAGGCUAUAAAAACGAUCCGAUCAGUCCAUGUAUUUUUAUCAAGAAGUUUGCAAACAAAGGAUUUGUAAUCAUAGCAGUGUAUAUGAAUGAUUUAAACCUCUGGAUAAUCGCCCAAACAGUUGAGUAUAUCUAAAGAAAGAAUCUCAAAUGAAAGACCUAGGCAAUAAUUAAGUUCUGUUUGGGAUUACAACCUGAGUACGUGAAUAAUGGAAUCCUUGUGCAUCAAAUGGCAUACACUGAAAGAGUAUUCAAGGAAAUUUAAUAAGGACCAGGCCCGCCCAUUGACCAGGCCCAAUGGUGGUGAGAAGCCUCAAAUUGGAUAGUGAUCCAUUCAGUCCGGAAAUGCCAUACCUCAGUGCCAUAGGAGUUCUAAUGAAUUUGGCUAGACACACUAGACCAAACAUUUGUUUUGCCGUGAGUCUCCUGUCUAAAUUUAGUUCAUGAUCAACCCAAAGGCACUGGAAAGGUUUAAAGGAAGGUUUGAUUAAGUUUUAAAGUCUAUUCUUCCUGCGUUAUUUACUUGGGUUUAUUCUAUACUGAUCUAACCAAAGAAGGUCCAGUUUGCUUUGGUUUAGUUUGAUUUACUAAUGCAGGAUAUUCAUAAGAUCAGAUUAUGGUAUGAUCAAUGAAUAGGAACUAUGUGUGGCUUGAUCCUUUCCAAGGGUACGUAGGCAGCCUUCCUUAAGGCGCAUCUACUACUACAUCAAAGACCAUCAUAUUUGAAGACAACGCAUCUUGUAUUGCUCAACUCAAGGAUGGCUACACUAAGAGGGAUCGAACGAAGCAUAUUCUGCCCAAGUUCUUCUUCACUCAUGAAUUACAGAAGGACGGUCAGGUCAAAGUUCAACAGAUCCAGUCAAGUGAGAAUUCAGCCGACUUAUUCACCAAAUCAUUGCCGACUUCAACGUUCCGGAAGCUCAUUCAUCAGAUCGGGAUGCGCGGACUUAAGGAUCUACAGUGAUACUCAAAUCAGGGGGAGUAAUGCGUGUUGUACUCUUUUUCCUUCACCAUGGUUUUGUCCCACUGAGUUUUCCUGGUAAGGUUUUAAUGAGACAAUAUUCCCCAGCGCAUUAUAGAGAUCCCGGUUUAGUAUCGGGCACGGUUAUGUCUUCCAAGGGGGAGUGUUAUAAACCAUAUGGAUGGACUCCAUAACCGGCCAAUAGCCCAUUAGGGUUUUACCUUAUUCUCUGUAUCCUGCUAUUAUCCUUAUAUAUAUAUUCCUUAUACUAUUAAUGAAAGACACAGUUCACAACAAUAUCGUAUUUUUAAUAAAAACUUAAUACGAAAAGUACUUCUUCGAAUCGAUGGGUGAAUGGGCAUAUGAUUUAUAUCCAAUCAUCCCAUUACCUCCUUUCCCUAUUCUGGAUAUGUCAAGCCCAUUAUCUUUUCUUCAAAGCAAAAAAAAAAAAAAAAAAAAAUCUCUUUUUCAAGGCAUCUCCAUGUUUUGGAGUUUUAAUUUAUAUAUCAAUGUUUAAUUCUAAUAUUAUAGUUUCAAGUUUUCAACUUUCAAUCUUCGAAAACGACAAAGAUAUAUUCCCAUACAAUUAGAUUGAAUUUACGGUUUUGCAACUCGAAUAAUACGGAUUUUGCCAUUUCCACUUCUCUUUAAACAACUGGUCAAUUAAAGUGGAGGAAAUAUAUUCCCCAUAGUAAAACAACAACAUGCAGUCGUUAAAAUUCAUUACCAUUUAUUUACUGCUUCUGUCUGUAGCAGUAAAAAUACUAGUCCAUAAUCAUUCGUUACUCUAUAGUAUUAGACUCUUUUUUAUUUCUUGAUUUGCUUCGAUGAUGACAUUAAACACGUUCUCGGUAUACAUUUCACCUUCACGAUCGAUCUUUCUUCUUCCUUCUUGAUCGUCUCCUUAGCCAUCUCCAUAAUCUUUGAUCUGUCCAAAUAUUUAGUCAGAUCACAAUUUUUGUAAUUUGAGUUGACUCUGUGUGUACUACUAACCGUUCCUCGUUGAACGAGUUGGAUCGUCUCAACGAUGGUUCAGCCGUGACUCGUUCUUGACUCACCGACUCGACGAUGCUUCCGCUGAAAUACUCUUUCUCCUCCGCCUGAGGAUUCCCGAACCUUGGAUUCUCCGACAUGAACCUUAUCAUCUCACGUUCGUCAUCGACGACAGUCUUCUUCACAAUGUUCUUGCAUAAAACUCCUUUUCGAAGAUUCUCUUCUUUUUGUCUCGGAUUCAUCACGCUCGGUGCGCAGUACUUGGUGGCGGCGAUGUGCCCGCACGAUAUCAUCUGGAGCCACAUCGACCCACGACCCGAUCCGGGUUCCACCGGAUCUCCGUCCUCGACCCGCGUCGAAACGUCGAGUCGACAAGGCUUCACCACCGGGUUGGAACGAGUCAACUCGGACAAGUGAGAACGUACUUGCAAAUCUUGUUCUUUCUUGACCAAGAUCGGUUUUUGUUCGGUGGAUUCGAUUGUCUCCGUCGAUAAGCCUCGAGAACAGCGAGAUUUCGGCGUCGUGGAAGAUGUAUAACUCGUUUUCUCUUCGUAAAGUUCGUACUCUCCGUCUUCUUCGACGUAGAGCUCUGAGUCAUCAAACGACGUCGUUCUGUUUUGAGGUUUGAGUUUUGACCUGAGAAGUCGACUUUUUGGAGUUUCUUCAAUAGAACCAGACAAUGGUCGGUUCACAUGUACUUCUUGAAAUUUGUCUGAAAAAAAAUUUAGAAACAAGAAGAUAAAAAAAAACUCCCUUGCAAAACCACAAAUUUCAAAUUUGUAUGAUUUUCGAUUAUCUUAACAACUUUACCGGUGAUUUCAGAUCCUUUCAAGACAUACUCAGCACAGUCCGAAGGGUAAAUCACAUCGUUCUCUGCUAAGUCAUUCCAAACGAAUCCAUUUCUAUAGCUCCUGAUGAAUAUAUAUCGAUAUAAAAUGCAUAAGUUUAGCCCGCGCCCUAAGAUUACAGAUUUUGCCUCAGUUUAAAAGCGUUGUUACGCAUAUUGUGAUGGCAUGCACUUCCCUCUCAGGACCGUAAGCCGGUUCAUCACAUCUUCAUGAUUGAAAUAAACAGUUUCCCAAGGAUACCGAUGCUUCGUAUUCUUUGCAAGAUCCAUCCGAGGCAAGUCUAAAUAUAUAAUGAUUAAUUAAUAGUAUAUAUGUGUAACAAUAUACUAAUAUACCUAUCCAUGUAUUAAGCUGUUAAUGGUUUCUACUCGAGCUAACUUCAAUCUCCUAAAUACGAAAUGAACAGGUGAUGGAUUUCUUGCGAAGAUUGGUGGAAUGGAAACAAAUGCAGCCAAGAAUGUGAAAGGAUAAUAUAAUAAACGAAUGACAAUGUUCGAAAUGCCAGUGGACAUAUUGGUGAAUGUAUAAUGAAUAUGUACAUGCCUAAUUAAUUUAUCUUGGAACGUUGUAAUUGGUAAAGGAUAGGGCAAUGUCUUAAUAUGCCCCCUUAGGUUAAUCUUAUUUUGUUUUCGUAAGAAAAAAAAAAGAUGAACAAGAAAAGAGGUGACAAAUUUGUUUCCAGCAGUCUAGUAAGUUGUAACUAUCUUUGUAAAAGCAAAUAUGUUAAUUAAGAAAGAAGUUUUAUUUAACGUUGUCUCUGCGUUUUAAUAUAAUAACGGGUUUUCGGUAUCUACGUACUGACGUACAUUCCGUCUUGUUUGAGAAUUAUAUUAAAAUAUCGAUCUAACAAUAAAGAGAUUUGUUCGUAUGAAAAUCUUUGUGAAAGUAUAUGUUAUGCCAAUGUUUGGUAGUUACUGAAAUAGCUAUAGUUUCUAGCUCCUUCUCUUUUAUUUCCCAUGUUCUUCAAUCUAUAUAUGUAUAUAAUAUUUAUAAUUUAAAAGUUUACAUUACAUUUGGAGACGGUGCAUGACAGAGUAAAAACUAUAUUUAACUAUUAUUUGUAAAUUGUAUGUGACACAUAUUUAGUAAAAUAGUUAAAUAUGUGGAUAUAAUGCGACGAAUUUGAAAGUGUUUGAUACUUUGAUGUAUCUAGAUUUGUCUCACUUUGUGUACUUGUCUACUGACACUUUGACACAUAGCCUCAUGGGGUCCAAGUGAAACUAAAUUAUCAAUUCAAAUCUGUCUGGGACGUACUUUUCACCAGUAUAUAUAGACGAAUCAACCUAACCAAGUUAAACCGCUUCAAAACCACGAAUUUAUUACUUUUAUUCUUGCUCGUAGUGGCAAAGGCAAACUCUGGAAAGUUGGACGUCUUAUUUUGUUUUAUUGUUAUUUUGGGUCAAGUCGUGUUCCUCUUCGUGCAUGUCCUUUGGCCCUGAUUACGAACGCUCUGUAUAUUUAUUUGCUGGUACGAGACAAAUUUGUUAUAUCGUUUGUAGCAGCAGAUUUUGUAGUUGUGUUUCCAAUCCAUGAUAAUUAAUGCGAUAACGCUUCUUUUUUUUUUUUUUUUUAAAUGAUUUUGUGCAUUUCUAAUGGAUGAUAUUUUUUCUCUACAAACGUAAAUAUAUCCAUUUGUAUAUUUGGACUUUAUAUCUUUUAGGUCAGGGACGAUAAUUUUUUUUUUUUUUGGACAAAUGAGUCUCAUCCACGAACGCAUUGUCGACUUGAACUCUAAUCUGACAAUAUUUAGUUAGUCCCGUUCCAACUUCCAAUAACCCGGUUGAAGUAAUCAAAUAAACUAAUUUCGAUGUAUUGCAGAUGAUCCAUUUAUGUAACAAUAGAACAACUAGAUGUGAAACUUGAAACUGAAACCCUCAUACUUCUCAAUUUAUAUCUAGUUGUGUUACAGAAUAUGACCAAGUGGUGUUUGGUCUACUAGCAUACACAUGGUCUCUUCAAAUAAGUGAGAAAUCGUGCUCUCUUGGUUCAAGUGUCACUUAAGAGAAGUUUUGGUUCCGAUGGAAAGACAUAUGGGUCAAAGUCGAUAAUUUCUCAAUUAACCAUUAAAAUAAUCACGAUAUUGUAUUUUUUUUUACAAUAAUAAUGCUUGAAAUAUUUGGAGUAUGUACAUAAACUUUAAUGAUAUUUACUUAUACAAUUGCCUAUGCAUUACAGUACUAUUGUCCGCAAACUAUUUAGCCGUAGAAUUAUAAACGACUUAGACAAAUUACAGCACACAAGUAGAUAAAUUGUACAUGUCAAGCCAAAUAAUCUCUGACUUUCCUACGUUACUGUUUCCUAUUCUUACUCGAAUUGGUGCUUACGUCUUUUGGAAAUCUGACAGUAUAGAUGGUAUAUACAGAGACAUAAUUGAAUACAUACAUAUGUACAUGUUACAUAGAUGGACAUAUAUAAGAGUGGCUAGAACAUCAUCCGAUGCAUGCACGUAGUCUCUGUGAAAGCUGAGAUAUGUGUACAAAAGAAAAGUAAUAACUAUACGUAUAGUGUCAUAGCAAAUCAAUAAUAGUGGAUGGUCAUUAUUGUCAAAGCUUUUUGUCCAUAGCUUUUGGGUGUAUAAUGCGACUAACUAUCACAAUAAAGCUGCAUGUGUUUUCAAUCCCUUUCGAUGUAGACAUAUCACCAAUACUCAGUUUUACUAAUAUAUAUAUAUAUGUAUUCUCAUUGUCCAUGACCUAGAUUAAAUAAUAACGAAAUUACACUAGAAACCCAUAAGUUUCCGUAUUGAAUUUGUGAACGUAGCUAUGUAGGAUAUGAUAUGUGUAAGGACUAAGAAGUAAGAAUCAUUGCACCAAAGAUGUGGUGGCCUAGUUGUGAAAAAGGGUUUGUUCCCUUGUACUCAAGUUCAAAUUCUUUUUUAGUACGGUAGAGUAUUUUUUUAAAUCGGUAGAGUACUCAAGUUGAAAAUCUACUUGUAUACUCUAGUUACAUCUAUCUACCUAUACAAGACAAUAAAAUUGUUUUAAGAUCUUGUAUUAAUAAAGUAACUAAAAUCUAAAAUAAUGGAAAAUCUAUAUAUACAUUUUUGGAGAUAUUUAUUAAAUAAAUUCUGAAGUUCCAACUUAUUUACGAUCAAAUGCCAUCGACAUUAAUUAUUUAGAUUUUUAAAAUUAAAUCAAAUAUAUUAACAUAAAAAAUCAUUUCCAAAAAUCUUAACCUAAUAUAUUAAGCAUAACUAAUCCUUGACACAAUUACAUCCAUAUUCAAUUCGAUUUCCUAAAAGAUCUCAACAAUCCCUACAUUUAAUCGUAGCCAUUCAAAUCUUAAUCUGGUUUUUAAUCUUCAAUUUUGGUCGUCGGUCAUUCGCAAUUAAUUCAGAAAUCCUUAUAUAGAAUUGAUUAUUAUUAACUAAUAUUUAAAUAUAUAUAUAUAUAUAUAUAUAUAUAAAAUCAAACUUUUAAAUUGAUUCAAAUUAUAUGUCUAUAAAAUAAAAUAUUAUUAAAAAUAACAAAAUAAUGUUUAAUUUCACGGGACGAGGUUAUAUAGUGGGACGGAUUUGGAUCGAUAUUAAUACGGGACGAUAUUAAUAUCACGGAUGAAAUCUUAAAAUUAACAAUCAAAAUACAAUUAUACAAUCUUAAACACUUAAUAAAAUAAAUAAUAUUAAAAAAUUAAUUUAAAAUUUAAUUUUUUAGUUAAAAAAUCGACUUACCGCAGGGUAAAAUCUAGUCUAUAUAUACAUUUUUGGAGACAUUUAUAAAAUAAAUCAUGGAAUGCUAAUUUAUUUACGAUCAAAUGCCAUUGACAUUAAUUAUUUAGAUUUUUAAAAUUAAAUCAAAGAUAUUAACAUAAAAAAUCAUUUUCAAAAAUCUUAACCUAAUAUAUUAAGCAAAACUAAUCCUUGCCACAAUUACAUCCAUAUUCAAUUCAAUUUCUUUAAAAGAUCUUAACAAUCCCUACAUUUAAUCAUGGCCAUUCAAAUCUUAAUCCGGGUUUUAAUCUUCAAUCUUGACCGUCGAUCAUACGCAAUUAAUUCAGAAAUUAUUAUAUAGAAUUAAAUAUUAUUAACUAAAAUUUAAAAAUAUAUAUAUAAAAUCAAAAUUUUAAAUUGACUUAAAUUAUAUGUCUAUUAAAUAAAAUAUUAUUAAAAAUAAAAAAAUGAUAUCUAAUUUCACGGGACGGGGUUAUAUAAUGGGACGGGUUUGAUCGAUAUUAAUACGGGACAGUAUUAAUAUUACAUAUGAAAUCCUAAAAUUAACAAUAAAAAAACAGUUAUACAAUCUUAAACACUUAACAAAAUAAAAAAUAUUAAAAAAUAUAAUAUAAAAUUUAAUUUUUUAGUUAAAAAAUGGACAUGCGGUGUACAGCGGGGUAAAAUCUAGUAUGUAUACAUUUUCAGAGGCAUUUUUAAUUUGAAAUAAAUUCUGGAGUUUACAGUUAUUUACAAUGUAAUGCCACUGAUAUUAAUUCUUAAGAUUUAUUUUUUAAUUAAAUAUAUGUAAAUUUAAUUUGUUUGACAAAUAUCUAGAGAGAAUCUUUUUUAAUAUCUUGACAAUGAUCAUUUAUACUCUUAAUUAUAGGCUGCAUCUAAUUAUGAUUCUAAGAGCAUGAUUAAAGGCAAGCUCUUAUAGAAAUCUUAAGCUUUUCUUAACAUUUAAAGCAAUAUAAUUUAAUCAACUUUGUGCUUUAACUUUAAGAAACGUUCCUUGGCUAAGGAACAUUUCUUAGCUAAGAGCAUAUAUGGACAAAAUAUUCCAGAAAUUAAGUUUAAAAUAUUUAUGCUUUCUGUUAUUUAUGUUAUACAUUGUAUCUCAUGUAUGUUUUAAUUUUUUUAAUUUGCAACCAUUAUUAAAUUUUCUAUAAUUAUAAACUUUAUUCUAUGUUAAUUUUUUUUUCUAAGAACCACAUUUUAAGAACCUACCAUUAAUAAUACAAAAAUCUUAACUCAAAAAUACUAUCUCUUAACAAUCACUUUUAUACAUAUAUUACUUAAAUAUUGCUAAAAUGUAUUUCUAAGAUACUACUAAUAAUCAUGCUCUAAUAAACAACAGAACAUACUACAAAUUCCUUUUUCUCGUCGUGAACAUGAGAAAUAUUUUUGAAGGUUGCAAAUACUUUGAGGAUGAGAGAGUUUUAGCCUCUGUUUGAGUAAUUUUGUAAUUUUUGUUAUUGUCCCUGUUUGGAUCUUUUGUGGUGUAUCCAUUCUUUUGUAUAGGCUAUUUGAUUUGUUCAAAGGAGUUAGAGUUAGUUGCAGUUUGUGUGAGGUUCUGUCUCGUUUGCAGGUGUAGGUGUGGUUCGAAUUUUGUAACUUGUUUCACACUUAUGCAUUCUAAUAUAACAACAGAUGACCAAAAAAAAGGUUGCAAAUACUUUAUUUUAUAUAGUUUCGUAGAUAUGUCUAAAUAGUCUCACCAUUUCUAGAGACUCAACAACAUAAUAAAAAAGAAAAUAAAUAAAAACUCUAAAUCAACUUUUAUGUUCUGUUUCACCAAGAACAUAAGAUGAGUAAGGAUAUGACUCAAAUAGCCCGGACAUCGCCGUCGGCGAGGUAGCGUUUGCGGAGAGCGGCACAGCCACGGAGCGGUUCGUCCCUGAAGAAACCCAUGGCGUUGGCAAAGUGGCGAGUAGAGGCGGCUCCGUUGGAGCGCGUGAGGAUCACGGUGGCGGUGCUUCUGCCAGGAUCAGCCUCUUGGCAGCGGGACAGAGGACUGUGAACAAGCUCCGCCAGACAUUGCUGGUCCUGUCGGUCUCCUCUGACGGCGACUUUGUAUUUCCCAUUGGGUCCCGUCACCGCCACCCCAACCAACUCCGAUUUCAGUGUCACUCUGUCUUUGCAUACUAUUCUCACUCUUGCCCCUGUUUUUCAUAUAACCCUUAAAAUAUUUUUAAGUGUUUCAAAUAAAACAAUUGCUGCUUUUGUUUUUACUUGCGAUUUCAUUUCUAUAUAUAGAAUUUUGGAUUUUUAUACUUAUCAAGAUAAUCUGUAAAAUGCAAUUAACAAAUUAUUUAAACGUAAACAAAAAAUUGAAGUUUUAGACUUUAAGUUGAUUUAAUUGAAAAUUUACCGAAUGGAUGGUUUUCUAUUUACAUGUAUACAAUGGGAAAUAUAUAUAUAUAUAUAUAUAUAUAUAUAUAUAUAUAUAUAUAUAUGAGGAUAAUAAGUACGUAAGUAUAAAUACGGACCGUGGAUAUAUUUGGUGGCAAUUGUCUCGAAUCCAAAACGGCAAGUGUCGCAGUAAACACAUCCUUCAAUGUGGAAUGGUGUUCCAACCGCCAUGGCCGCAAGUGGGAGCAACGAAACGAAUAACACAACGAUCACAGGUACCAAUGAUUUAGCCAUCUCCAUAAACUGAAAGAACGAUAUUGUAGAUUUUGGAGAUUGUUAUUAGUGAAGGGGUUUUCUGUUUUAUGUGAAAACUAUGUAUUAUAUAAGAAGGGAAAUGAAGUGCACAUGUAGUAAAGAAGGUGUAAGUGUAUCGCAUCUUGUGCAAAUUAAAAGCUUCCUUAGUGUCGGCUGGAUCCACUUGCGGCUGCUCCUCCGCCGUACACGGCGAGAGAGUUUGUGUUGCCUUCUACACAAGUCAACUCUUAUGGUUCUUGUUAAUUCUAGUCUACGUCUCGAUCGGACUUUACAUUUUUAUUUCGACUAAUUUAUUCGGCAUUUGACUUUAUGUAUAUAAUUCUACUACUAUUUUUAACAAAGUUUUCUAAACUGGAUUUAUCCCAUCCAAGAUAUUUUUGAAAGUAGAUUCUUUGGAAAAUAGGAAAUCUAGUUUUUGGAGUUUCCCACCAAUUUUCAGUAAGAAUCUAAUAUCCAAUCUACUUGGGGUUUUCACUUACAAUUUGUAUUUUCUGUUUUUUUUUUUUUGUAACAAAAUCCAAAACGUAAAAGUCAAAAUUUAAAAUCAAAAAAACUAAAAACUAUAAUCUAAAAAUCUUUUAAAAAUCCUCAAACAUGCUAAGUCGUAUAAGAUGGAGCAUUAUGUUACAAAUAGUUCACUUUAGGUUAUAAAAUAAUGAAAAUUUUGAAAUAUUGGAACAAUAAUCUUUAUCGGAAAAAAAAUGGAACAAAAAGAAAAGUUUGUUAAAUUGAGAGAGUGAUGAAACUGCUGGUUAGCUUCGGUCUGACCAGAACGUGCUUUUGUUUCGUCUUAACGUAAGAGUGCAUUUGAACACUAACGAUUCUCUAGAUAUUAUCUUGUAGGCUGGUUGUACAUAACUACAUAUAGAUUAUAUUUAGUAAAAAUCAGAUUCGUUAAAGAUGAGUAAUGUUCACUUUGACUUAUGCUUCCAUGUUUUUGUUUUUUUUUGCCAUAGGACCAUUUUCAUAGAUUUUAAAUCUUUGAUUGUAAUCCUAAAUUGUUUUCAUUUUCAUUGAAAUAUUUAUAUUCUUGCAAAAAAGAAAAUAAAAAAAGAUGAUUAAUGUUCACAGUGACGUCUGUGUUCCAAAGAAAAUACAGUUCUGAAAGAAAUAUACUAUAUCUAUAUGUGAAUUAUAUGUAUAAUAUUUACUGUAAUGUCUAAAUACAUAUUUCUUAUCAUUUAAUUUUAUAAAUGUGGAUUAAGGGAUUUCUUCGUGGAUGACGGAAGUGAUGCUGGUCCGAAGAAAAUAUGGAAGAGGUCGGUCACGUAAACAACAAUGAAUCUUAAUAACUAAGCCUAUAUAUUGGGCCGAAGGUGACCGACAUGGGCCCAAUAAACCCAUUCCAACCAUUCGCGUUUAUUAAUUACGACGAGAAAAAAAACGCACUGAGAGAGCGCCACGUUUUCUUUGCAAAAUAGGCCGUAGGCUUCUUCACAGUGAAGCAAACACAAGUUUUAGAGAGAAGAGAAGAACACAUACACGCAAGAUCUCGAUGCAAUUCUCUCACGAAUAAGGUACAAAGUUUCAUCAACCUUUUUGUCUUUAAACAGAUAAUAUUGACUUAAAUCUAGUCUACUUAUGUAUCACACACAAAGUCUCUUGGCCAAAGAGAGAGUAUUAAGAUAUACAAACGCUCGCCCUUAUCAGCGGAAUAAUUACAUAUCUUUUUUUUUCACAAUCAUAUAAUAUGUUUUGGAUUUUGAUUUCAACCGCCGAUUAAAUGUGGCUAAUUAAGCAGCGGGAGAGUCACCGGAAGAUUGUCGGAGAUUUGUCCUGCAGGUGAAAUCUCCAUCUCAGCUUCUGCUCCCACAUGAUGAUUCUUCUCCAUCUGUACGAUAAUCAUAGGUCAAAAUCACUAUUCACUUUCUUCUUUUUGUCUUCUAUCCAAGGAAUAUCUUUUUCAUACCAUCAAUUAAGACCCUUGUUUUAAAAAUCGCUAGGCGCUAGUCGGGCGCUCGGCAUGGGCCUAGCGAUUAAUCGGAAAAUCGGAUUAAAAUCGGGGAUUAAUCGGGGAUUAGUUUUAGGGUUAUUUUAAUAUUUUUAAAAUAUAUUAAUCCAAUAUUGUAAAAAUUUAUGAUUUUUAUUACAAAUUUAUGAUUUUUAUUAAAAUUUGAACACAAGUUAUUGUAAAACAUCACAAACUCUCCAUUCAAAUGAUUGAAUAACAAAAAUAAAAAGUUUUUUUAUACUUGCAAUCUAAAAAAUAAUCGGGGUAUAUAAGAUUAGGCGGAAAGUAAUCGGAUUAGGCGGAGAAUAAUCGGGUUACUGAUUUUUUAGGGGAUUAGUCAUUAAUCGAGGCGGAUAGGGUGGGCCUAGCGAUUAAGCGGGGAGUAAUCGGGGCUAGGCGGGGAUUUUUAGAACAGGGAUUAAGACUAACAACAAUAAAAGCACAUAAAGUAGCACUACUACUAGACACUUGGAGUUGGAACUGAGCCAAUCGGUUCCAAACCUAAACCAUAACAAAAAAGAAACUAAUCGGUUCAUCAACUCUUUUUUGGUUAAGGGGUGAUUAAUAAUUAUUAAUAUAUAAAAUAAAGACAACGUUUACACAACCUUCAAGGUAACCAAUAUUAAACCAAACUAGACCAUAACCUGAAAGAGAAUCAAGAAAUCUUAAUGAAACUCUACCAAAUUGACUUAACCAGACUAUAAUAGGUUCAUAAAUCUCAAAAUCAAAAUGAACCAAAACCUAAAUAAACGUCCCCUUAACAAAAAAAAAAAAAAAAAAAAAAAAACAAGAAGAACCAAAACCUAGUUAAUAUCCCAACAAUUUUAUUUAGUAAAAUGAUAUAGCAAUAAUGUAAUUUCUACUCAUCAUAAACAUAAAUAUAUAUAAUUUACUUUAAUUUUUUAGUGUAAUUAUUAAUAUAAACUUCAUGAACUUUUGUUGUUGUUAUAAUCCCGACUUCAUCUGAUAUAAAUAUAUAAAUAGUUUUAAAAAUAAACUUAUUAUUUUAAAACUAGGGAAAUUGUUAAAAAUGCCCCUUUUGGUGUGUCCCUUUUCAAAAAUGCCCCCUUUAGAUGUCCAUUUUCAAAAAUGUCCCUUUUUAAAUCUGAAAUUUUUAUAAAGUUUUAUUAGGUUUAUAAGGUACUUAUGGAUUAUAACUACUACUUGAAGACUCGAUCCAAGUAUUUAUAAGGUUUUAUAAGGUGUUUUAAAAGGUUUUACAAGUUAUUUUAAAGAAUUUUUAAGGUUUUUCAAAGGUUUUACAAGAUAUUUUAAAGGUUUUUAAAGGUAUUUAAAAUGCAUUUAUAAGAUAUUUAUAAAGUAUUUAUAAGAUUUUAGAUACAUAGAAAUGUAGUUUGUGUAUGUUUUAAUAAUGUUACAUACAUAUUUGGGUAAAUCUUAUAUUUUUAAGAGCAUUUUUUAUAAAAUUUUAAAAAAUGAGCAUUUUUGAAAAGUGGCAUUGGGCAUUUUUGCAAAAGCCCCAAAAAACUAUUCACCUUUUUUUUUUUUUUUUUUUUUUUGAGCACCAAACUAUUCACCUUUGUUUCCGAAUUAAAACGGAAAAGAUUUCCCCUAACUCAAACCAGCCCGAAUCAAAUUUCUGUUAUAAUUCAGUAGUAAUCUCACAAACCCUAAUCAAAUAUACAAACAACCAAAAUACCCUAAUCUUGAGAAGAAUUUUCUAGAAUACAAGGCAGAAAAUGCAAACUACUGGCUGCCAUAAGAAAAAGAAAGUGCUAACUAGUGAAUGCUUAAAAGUGCUCUGUCGAUAUAUCUGCAAGCAUAAGAGUGUGUAUCUGUGUCCAUGUAAAGAGCUUACUAGUUAUGCAUAUUUAUAGGAAAUGUAGCUUUCGUUACCUGGCUAGCCAAAACCUGGUUCUCUUCUUUCAGCAAUUUCUCCUGUUUUAAAGAUCAACACGUUCAGCAACUACCGAUCAAGUUUCUAAACCUAACAACUUUAGAUUUUGGAUUUCAAAACAUAUGCAUUGGGAAGAAGUUGCAAAGAUGUGUGCAAGCUCGUUAAGCAGACUUAGAGAAACAGUGACAACGAACGAUAAUAUAUAUGAUGUACUAUAACUUUGGAAGCAAAUAUCUGACCUUUUCUUUAAGGUUCUCCACAAGCUUCAACAUUAGUUCUGUCUGCAACAAAUAAAAGCAGCACAGUUGUUAUCGGCAAACAAAAUUCAGAAAAGAGUAGACAUUACGAAAUCAACUUACCUUCUUGGCUCUGGUUACGGAGAGGGCAGUCUCAAGGUGUUCCUCUAGUUGAAGAAGAGUUUCGGCACUCACAUUAUUGACAUUUGAUCCCACAAGCUUGCUGCAUAUAUUCAUAGUUUGACAAAAAAAAAACCUAAUUCCUUUGUAAUCAAAGGAGGAGAGCAAAUAUAGUCUUAGUUAGUACUAACCUUUCCACAAGUUCAAGUAGCUCAUGGUGUGAACCAUAGUUCAGAGCUUUUGACUGAAUAUCCUGCCCAUGAAAAAGGGACAGAAGAAGCGGUAAAAGACAAGGGCUACGAGAAUUUUGAUAUGCAUCUGGAGCCACCACCUCAUUUUAUAUUUAGGAUCACUCGGUAAACUAAUAAUAGUAAAUUUACUCCUUAUAAAACUCCAUCUGGGAAAAGAUUCAAAAUGUUUGUAUUACCAAGGCUUUAAGAUCAUCAGCAUGUUGUUUUCCAUAUCGAUCAAGGAUCUUGACCAGGCUGGAGAGAUGACAAAUAAAUAAAAAUAUGUGAGGAUCAAAACUACUAUAUCUAACCCUUGAAAAGACGACUGGAAACUAUGAAACAUUUAUAUGGCAUCAGAAGAGACAUUUGGAGACAACACCUUAAUUUUUACACAUGUAUAUUAUAUAUAACACCACUAUUAUAUUCUUAACAUUUCAGAAAAAAACAAUAAUCUUAGUAUUCAUGCUUAAGCAGUGUUUCUAUAUAAUUAUUGAUACAAUAUAAACAUGUAAACGCAGCCUCAAUCUUAAAUGGAAACAAGCAGUUGAGGCUUAAGAGAGUGUGUACACACACAUCUAUUUUUUGUUUGUUACAGAAAUCAUAUACUUAUGAAAUUAUAUACAUAUACACCUGAUGAGCCACAAAGUGAUGACAUUGAAGUAAGCUGACGUCCACUACGUAUGAGGAAGCCAAAUUCCAAGUAAAUGCAUGGACUGAGUCUUACGGAAUCAUAUUUCUAUAUAAUUUCCUGUAAAUAAUUGAAAGACACUUCCCUAAAAAUAGAAAACAGUGGAAGACUGCUUGCAAUUCAUUUGCAACUUGUAUUAUUCUAAUUGCAACCUCUAUCAGAGCUUCCAUUUUGGUUUUGAUCCAUACUACAACUUUUAGCAUCAAAACAACACAUAUCUUCUUUACAAAUCGUGGUAUCAAUAGCAUUAUAAAUCAACCUAUUUACCCUCUAUAUUCUAUCAUAUCCAUUUCCUUAUGAAAUUUGAUCGGGACUACGAAACAAUGGUUUAGAAAAGAAUUUAAAAAAGCCUCUUCAUGAGUUCAUUAGUAAGCUCGUGUCAAAACGGUGACAUCAGCUAUUUGUUUCAAAGUAAUACCAUAUCAACAUAUACGAGAAAACUUUUCGAAUUUUUCAAUGAACCUUGAGGACAAGGUUCUUUCUAGCGAUAUCGCUAGUAUUGAUGAGCCAUAACAUGAUCAUGAUGAUGUGGCGGUAAGCAGAUGACCAUAAGUAUAUAUGAGGAAUCCAAACUCCAAAUACAUGGACCGAGUCUUAAACAAACUCAUAUUUCUAUUUUAUGUUUUUUGCAAAUAAUCAAAAGACUCUCCUAAGAAUAUAUAGGAAGCCGGUCUUCGUAUUUGUAUUUUCACUUUCAAUUUAUUCCUCGUUUGUAGAAACGGUGAGGUUCCAAUUUCCUAUAUUUAAACCCCAAAUUCAAGCAAUAAAAGUAAAGAGUUUUCUGCCAUUGAAGUUACACUAACUUAUAUUACUAGGAAACCUAUCAUACCUAUAUAUAAAUAUAUCUUCUAUAGAAGGAAGCGACUAAGACAGAUAAAACUAAACUACAUAAUGACCUUAUACAAGACCCAACAAAUUUGACAACACUUCCACUAAUUCAUUUUUUUUUUUUUUGUUAAUAGGUAUCAGUUCCAUUGUGAAGUCAAAACUAAGUAUGCAAAAAUGAGUUACUGAGUAACUAUUUCCACGUUCUAAAAGGCUCCUUCUUUAUCAAAUCAUAACUAAGACCAGGAGUUCUAGUCAGGUGUCUCGACUAUUCCAAGGCUGGACCAAACUUUCAGUAUAUAAGGGGUGAACAAAUCCUAAGUAUGCAUCAAGUGAGAAUCGGCCAGCGAUCUUGACCAACAUGGCCAAACGACUACAACCACUUGGUUAAUAUAUUGGAGGGUUGUAGUAAUUAAACACUACACCAGCAAUUUUGACAACUUAUAGGAUUAUAAUGAUUCAUUAUAGAUACGUUCCAAAGAGGUUCUUAUUUCUUAUAUGAAGACAAGUUUUGAGGGAUUUCCAAUUUCCUAGAGGCACCAAAGAAACAAGGCUGUGUUAUUGACAAUUUCUAUGACAAAAGACACAAGAUACAAAGGUUGUGUGAUUGUCGAUUUUCACAACAAAAGUUACAAGGUAGUGGAUUCAGAUAAUCACCAAGUAAUAGGUCCACGACAAAGAUAGGAAUUCAUAGAAGAUCAACAAAUAGUCUUAUAUAGUCAAUAGCUGCAGAAUGUGGUAUAUACAUUAUUCAGCAUUAACCCCAUAUCAAUCCUAUAGAUCUCCCGUAGGUGCAUUGCAUUGCAUACAAAUCCGAGAGAUCCAAUGAAUUUUAAUCACUCUGAAAAGAGAGACAUUAAUCAUUAGUCAGCUCUUCAAAAACUUAAGGAAUCUAUAAAGCAAAGUAACAAUCACAGAUGGCUUGAAACUUCACUAAACAACAUCGAGCACGCAUCAGAUCGUAUCAAACAAAUCGUGAAGGACAUGCAAAUUAUUUCCAAAGAAAAUAAUAAAAUCCAUGCAGAAAUUUUUUUAUAAGAAAUAUAGAGAGAGAAAUGAACAAAAGUUAGAAGCUUUAUCUUCAUCACGACAUUGUUCUUCCUUAAAUUAGGUUAUCUCAUGUAUCUCUCAUGGUCAUAGAAAAAGACACUAACAAACACAGAACCAAGAAACAACAAGAGAUUCGCCGGAAAUAAAUCGAAAUCCAGAUAAGGAAGAGGCGUACUUAUCGCCGGAAGAGAAGCUGUAGAGCUUGCCGGAAGCAGAGACGACGAGAAGAGCGACGGAUGCGUCACAGAGAACAGAAAGCUGACGAGCUUUCUCGAUGAGACCGUUGCGACGUUUGGAGAAGGUGACUUGUCGGCUACUUUUGUUCUCAAUUCGCUUGAUUUCUAGUUUUUUUCUCCCCAUGGCUUCUGUCUCCGAGAGGGCUUUAUUCCCUAAUUUGAUCCUCAGGUUGGGUUCGAAGUCGCCGGAGAUACUAAGCGUUUUUCUCUUUCCUUUUUUUUUUCUAUUUUUUUUCUAUUUUUUUUAUUUCUUUCUAUUUUUUGUGCCUAUCUACUUUUUCUUCGUUGGGCAAGAUUUUUUUUUUUUUUGGGGUAAACGAGAGUGAUGAAAAUAAAAUAUGAGACUAAAAACGUUGCGUUUUGAAGACAAGGUAGCCACGUGUACCGCAUGACGAGCGCAUUUGCUGCUCUUGCAUUACCUUUCUUUGGUAAAUGAAAACUAUCUACCCUCCCCUGCGGAUUCAACUAUCGUAGAAAGAGCUCUAAACCCCCACUCU
RNAcentral lists this long non-coding RNA (22667 nucleotides) under Arabidopsis lyrata. Its description in RNAcentral is "long non-coding RNA (ALYR_LNC001185)". Lineage: Eukaryota; Viridiplantae; Streptophyta; Magnoliopsida; Brassicales; Brassicaceae. The record is from RNAcentral.